RNAcentral lists this ribosomal RNA (373 nucleotides) under uncultured bacterium. RNAcentral's name for it is "bacterial SSU rRNA". It matches the Rfam family "Bacterial small subunit ribosomal RNA", at positions 524 to 898 of the family's 1533-position model. The record is from RNAcentral.
UACGGAGGGUGCAAGCGUUAUCCGGAAUCACUGGGUUUAAAGGGUGCGCAGGCGGCCCGAUAAGUCAGCCGUGAAAUCGCUGGGCUCAACCCAUGCAAUUGCGGUUGAUACUGUCGGGCUUGAAUGGGGUUGAGGCUGGCGGAAUGCGGCAUGUAGCGGUGAAAUGCUUAGAUAUGCCGCAGAACACCGAUUGCGAAGGCAGCCAGCUGGGCCUUUAUUGACGCUGAGGCACGAAAGCGUGGGGAGCAAACAGGAUUAGAUACCCUGGUAGUCCACGCCCUAAACGAUGCUCACUUGCUGUUCCCCUUUCGGGGGGAGUGGCGUAGGGAAACCGGUAAGUGAGCCACCUGGGGAGUACGCCGGCAACGGUGAA